RNAcentral lists this non-coding RNA (21 nucleotides) under Caenorhabditis elegans. Lineage: Eukaryota; Metazoa; Nematoda; Chromadorea; Rhabditida; Rhabditidae. The record is from RNAcentral.
UCUUGAAAACAUGUCGAUUUA